This 459-nucleotide ribosomal RNA is filed under the name uncultured bacterium. RNAcentral's name for it is "partial 16S ribosomal RNA". It matches the Rfam family "Bacterial small subunit ribosomal RNA", at positions 338 to 795 of the family's 1533-position model. The record is from RNAcentral.
CCUACGGGAGGCAGCAGUGAGGAAUAUUGGUCAAUGGCCAGAAGGCUGAACCAGCCAAGCCGCGUGAGGGAGGAAGGCGCAGAGCGUCGCAGACCUCUUUUGCCGGGGGACAAAAGGCCGGACGGGUCCGGUUCUGAGGGUACCCGGAGAAAAAGCAUCGGCUAACUCCGGGCCAGCAGCCGCGGUAAUACGGAGGAGGGGAGCGUUAUCCGGGUUCAGUGGGUGUAGAGGGUGCGCAGGCGGGCCCUUAAGCCGGCGGGGAAGUCGCGGGGCUCAACCCAGCCGUGCCGUCGGAACUGGGGGCCUUGAGUGCGGCGGAGGCAUGCGGAAUGCGCGGUGUAGCGGUGAAAUGCAUAGAUAUCGCGCGGAACCCCGAUUGCGAAGGCAGCGUACCGUGCCGCCACUGACGCUGAGGCACGAAAGCGCGGGGAUCGAACAGGAUUAGAUACCCGGGUAGUC